Molecule: ribosomal RNA, 301 nt
Filed under: uncultured bacterium
Lineage: Bacteria
Description: partial 16S ribosomal RNA
Rfam family: Bacterial small subunit ribosomal RNA
Source: RNAcentral
CAGCAGCCGCGGUAAUACGAAGGGUGCAGGCGUUACUCGGAAUUACUGGGCGUAAAGCGUGCGUAGGUGGUGGUUUAAGUCCGUUGUGAAAGCCCUGGGCUCAACCUGGGAAUUGCAGUGGAUACUGGGUCACUAGAGUGUGGUAGAGGAUAGUGGAAUUUCCGGUGUAGCAGUGAAAUGCGUAGAGAUCGGAAGGAACAUCUGUGGCGAAGGCGACUAUCUGGGCCAACACUGACACUGAGGCACGAAAGCGUGGGGAGCAAACAGGAUUAGAUACCCCUGUAGUCCCUGUCUCUUAUAC